GACGAACGCUGGCGGCGUGGAUUAGGCAUGCAAGUCGAACGGUAUCAUCCUUUCGGGGGUGAGAGAGUGGCGAACUGGUGAGUAACACGUAGGUUAUCUACCCUCAAGACGGGGACAACCCAGGGAAACUUGGGCUAAUACCGGAUGUGAGCAACUUUUAGUUGUUUGAAAGGUGGCGUAAGCUGUCGCUUGGGGAUGAGCCUGCGUCCUAUUAGUUAGUUGGUGAGGUAACGGCUCACCUAGGCAAUGAUAGGUAGGCGGCCUUAACGGGUGGUCGCCCACACUGGGAUUGAGAUACGGCCCAGACUCCUACGGGAGGCAGCAGUCGAGAAUAGUCUACAAUGGUCGGAAGACUGAUAGUGCGACGCCGCGUGAACGAUGAAUCCCUUCGGGUGUAAAGUUCUUUUAUAUGUGAGCAGUGCUUCUUAUAUUAACAGUAUGGGGAGAGAGAUAUUAGCAUAGUAAUAAGCAACGGCUAACUCCGUGCCAGCAGCCGCGGUAGG
RNAcentral lists this ribosomal RNA (503 nucleotides) under uncultured bacterium. RNAcentral's name for it is "bacterial SSU rRNA". It matches the Rfam family "Bacterial small subunit ribosomal RNA", at positions 28 to 524 of the family's 1533-position model. The record is from RNAcentral.